UUCAUCAACCAAACUGUAUAUCUGCCACGUACAAGAACGAGAAAUCGGACUUGGAACCAAUUGUCUUUACGCUUGCAUGGGGUUCUCUUAAAGUGACUUUUUCCAAAGAUAGUUUCUUGACAUGAGGGAGCUAACUUUACCAGACAGCGUGUGUUCAACACCGAGUUCGUGGAUGUGAUUGAACUUUUUACUCAAAUGAAUGUGUGUUAUUGAAUUCAAUUUUCUAAGCAUGUAGUACAAGAAAACAUGAAUGGAAAAUCAACAAUAUAAACAUAGCGGCUUUAAAGACGCUGCACCGAUCCGCCUGUCAAUCUCACACUCCCAUCAUGUCCCCAUUUGUGAACAAGACCACAAGAAGCCCAAGAUAUCCGAACUCCUGCACACGGGGCAGGUUCCCUGACCUGGAAAGCACACUCAAACUCAACCGUUUUUGCCACUGAGGACCAUGUCCUCAGAUUUGGAGGUGCUGAUUUCCAUCCCGAACGAGCUGCAAACAUCUCCAGUGAGAGUUUGACAUCCGGGCUUGAAGAAGCCAACAGUACAACGUCAUACUAAUGAGGCCUCAAAACCGGAUCCCUCAACGCCUCUGGUGCUCCUAGAAAUUCUGCGUUGAUGUCGCUCUGAGCUCUCCGCGCCACUCCCAGUGAAGAAACCCACAUUUCAGCCUUUUCAAUCAGCAAAUUUUAAUUAAGCUUUUUACCAUUAUAUUGCAAACACAAUUCAUUGUUAAGACCUACUUUUUACACCAGAUGGCAUCAAGUCUCACUGUUUUCACUGAAUCGUGCAUUGUUUUUCUUUUCUUUUGUUUCCUCGCAUGUACAAAUAGUUCUAACUGCAGGCGUGUCCGAUUGCUUGUGGUAUUUAAAGGCACAUAUUAAAAGUGGCUCAUCAGGA
Molecule: long non-coding RNA, 894 nt
Organism: Syngnathus typhle (broad-nosed pipefish)
Lineage: Eukaryota; Metazoa; Chordata; Actinopteri; Syngnathiformes; Syngnathidae
Exons: 2
Source: RefSeq, a predicted model, not a curated record